CCUACGGGAGGCAGCAGUGGGGAAUUUUGCGCAAUGGGGGCAACCCUGACGCAGCAACGCCGCGUGAGUGAUGAAGGCUUUCGGGUCGUAAAGCUCUGUCGAGAGGGAAGAAGUGAAUGGUGGUUAAUACCCAUUAUUCUUGACGGUACCUCUGAAGGAAGCACCGGCUAACUCCGUGCCAGCAGCCGCGGUAAUACGGAGGGUGCAAGCGUUGUUCGGAUUUAUUGGGCGUAAAGCGCGUGUAGGCGGUUUGUUAAGUCUGAUGUGAAAGCCCCGGGCUCAACCUGGGAAGUGCAUUGGAAACUGGCAGACUUGAAUACGGGAGAGGGUAGUGGAAUUCCUAGUGUAGGAGUGAAAUCCGUAGAUAUUAGGAGGAACACCGGUGGCGAAGGCGGCUACCUGGACCGAUAUUGACGCUGAGACGCGAAAGCGUGGGGAGCAAACAGGAUUAGAUACCCUGGUAGUCCACGCCGUAAACGAUGAGUACUAGGUGUUGCGGGUAUUGACCCCUGCAGUGCCGCAGCUAACGCAUUAAGUACUCCGCC
RNAcentral lists this ribosomal RNA (545 nucleotides) under uncultured bacterium. Its description in RNAcentral is "bacterial SSU rRNA". It matches the Rfam family "Bacterial small subunit ribosomal RNA", at positions 338 to 873 of the family's 1533-position model. The record is from RNAcentral.